Molecule: ribosomal RNA, 442 nt
Filed under: uncultured Eubacteriales bacterium
Lineage: Bacteria; Bacillati; Bacillota; Clostridia; Eubacteriales
Description: bacterial SSU rRNA
Rfam family: Bacterial small subunit ribosomal RNA
Source: RNAcentral
CCUACGGGCGGCUGCAGUGGGGAAUAUUGGGCAAUGGGCGAAAGCCUGACCCAGCAACGCCGCGUGAGGGAAGAAGGUUUUCGGAUCGUAAACCUCUGUCCUUGGUGAAGAGAAAGAGACGGUAGCCAAGGAGGAAGCCCCGGCUAACUACGUGCCAGCAGCCGCGGUAAUACGUAGGGGGCGAGCGUUGUCCGGAAUGAUUGGGCGUAAAGGGCGCGUAGGCGGCCUGUUAAGUCCGGAGUGAAAUUCCGGCUUUCAAGGUAGGAAGUGCUUUGGAAACUGGCGGGCUGGAGUGCAGGAGAGGUUAGCGGAAUUCCCGGUGUAGCGGUGAAAUGCGUAGAGAUCGGGAGGAACACCAGUGGCGAAGGCGGCUAACUGGACUGUAACUGACGCUGAGGCGCGAAAGUGUGGGGAGCAAACAGGAUUAGAUACCCGGGUAGUC